CUACGGGGGGCUCCAGGCGCGAAACCUCUACAAUGCACGAAAGUGUGAUAGGGGAAUCCUAAGUGCUCAUGUUUCACAUGAGCUUUUGCCAAGAAUAAAUAUCUUGGCGAAUAAGUGGUGGGUAAGACAGGUGCCAGCAGCCGCGGUAACACCUGCGCCACAAGUGGCAAUCACAAUUAUUUGGCCUAAAGCGUCCGUAGCUGGUUCAUUAAAUCUUUUGUGAAAUUGUUUGGCUCAACCAGACAGCGAGCAAAAGAGACUGAUGAACUCGGAACCGGGAGGAGUCAGAAGUAUUCUUGGAGUAGCGGUAAAAUGUUAUAAUCCCAAGAAGACUACCUGUGGCGAAGGCGUCUGACCAGAACGGAUUCGACAGUGAGGGACGAAAGCUGGGGGAGCAAAACGGAUUAGAUACCCGUGUAGUC
RNAcentral lists this ribosomal RNA (422 nucleotides) under uncultured archaeon. RNAcentral describes it as "partial 16S ribosomal RNA". It matches the Rfam family "Archaeal small subunit ribosomal RNA", at positions 323 to 746 of the family's 1478-position model. The record is from RNAcentral.